Molecule: long non-coding RNA, 385 nt
Organism: Gallus gallus (chicken)
Lineage: Eukaryota; Metazoa; Chordata; Aves; Galliformes; Phasianidae
Source: Ensembl
GGGGUCAAAUGUCACCAUUUUGGGGUCAAAGAGCGCCGAUAUGGGGUCAAAGGUCACCGAUAUGGGGUCAAAGGGUACGUAUAUGGGGUCAAAGGUCACAUAUAUGGGGUCAAAGGGCACCGAUAUGGGGUCAAAGGUCACAUAUAUGGGGUCAGAGGUGGACAUGUGGGGUCAAAGGUUACAUUUUUGGGGUCAAAGGUCACAUAUAUGGGCUCAGGGGACACAGAUUUGGGGUCAAAGGUCACAUUUGGGGGUCAAAGGUCACGAUUGGGGGUCAAAGGUCACCAUUUUGGGGUCAAAGAGCGCCGAUAUGGGGUCAAAGGUCACCGAUAUGGGGUCAAAGGGUACGUAUUUGGGGUCAAAGGGCACCGAUAUGGGGUCAAAG